Long non-coding RNA from Calidris pugnax (ruff), 495 nucleotides. RefSeq lists it as uncharacterized. The transcript is spliced from 3 exons. Lineage: Eukaryota; Metazoa; Chordata; Aves; Charadriiformes; Scolopacidae. The record is from RefSeq and is a predicted model, not a curated record.
CUGACUCCUUAACUUUUGUCUGUGUCCCUGUAGAAGGCAGAGAAUCUCUGUUGCUGUUCCUGAAGAUGAGAGUCCCCAUGGUCUUGUCCUUUCCUUGUCUGGCCUUCUGCCAUAAAAAGCAGGAGAAUAUCACCAAACUAAAGCAUCAGAGACCAUCAGUGGCCAUUGACACCUCUGCCCAGAAGGUAGAGAAUCUCUGGCUGUGUGCUUGAAGAUGAGGAUCCGCCAUGGUCUUGUCGUUGCCCUGUCUGGGCCUGCUGCCAUUACAGGUAUCCAUGUGUCCCAACAACUGUCCAUCCAUCGAACCAGCUGUCAGUCUGUCCCUCCACGUGUCCAUCCAUCCAUCCAUCUCUCCAGGUGUCCAUGCCUCUCAAAGCUUGUGCAUGUAUCCAGAUCCUCAUUGGUUCCUCCAGGUGUCCAUCCAUCACUCCAGAGGGCCACAUGUCCCAACCACUGUCCAUCCAUCUGCACCAUAGGUGUCCAUCUGUCCCACAA